UUGCUUUGGCAGCCACAUAUACUAAAAUUGGAACAAUACAGAGGAGAUUAGCCUGUCUCCUUUGCAAGGAUGACACACAAAUUCAUGAAGCAAUCCAUAUUUGA
This 104-nucleotide small nuclear RNA is filed under the name Dasypus novemcinctus (nine-banded armadillo). The record is from RNAcentral. Lineage: Eukaryota; Metazoa; Chordata; Mammalia; Cingulata; Dasypodidae.